This is a long non-coding RNA of Oryzias melastigma (Indian medaka), 2641 nucleotides long. RefSeq lists it as uncharacterized. The record is from RefSeq and is a predicted model, not a curated record. NCBI's taxonomy places the organism in Eukaryota, Metazoa, Chordata, Actinopteri, Beloniformes, Adrianichthyidae. The transcript is spliced from 2 exons.
GUUAGAAAUGAGCUCAAGAUAACAUCGGGUCAUUAAUAACAAUAAAAAAAAUGAUCUGGAGGGCCGGAUAGAAUUACCAGGAGGGCCGGAUCCGGCCCCUGGGCCUUGACUUUGACACGUGUCUUAGAGUAUUUUACAGAUCUAUUUAGAAAAGACUGUGACCCGAUUUAACCAUUGAAGCUCCUCUGAAUGGGAACACAGACAACAGCUGAGACCAACGGGACUGAACACUGACUUCAGAAUAGGUGUCAAACUUUCAUUUACAAACCUAUUCCACUUCAUUUGGUGCCUCUUUGCUUCACUGAGUUUCAUUCUCAGCUACUCAUCUUCUGAAUCGUGUGUCAAAGGUCAUGUGACACUCGUCAUGUGACUCGUCCAUUUCUGUCUGUUUACUGGUUUCAUUUAAAUACAAGAUCAGAAGUCUAAAAGGAAGUCGUUUUUAUCUUCACUCUGGCUGCAAGUUGUGAGAAGCCGAGAUGUUUAGCUGAGUCAGCGGUCCAGCAUCACUGCAUCUUCUUCGCUGCAUCCUAACCUCUUUAGACCCGGCGUCCACAUGUGUGGACAUCACAUUUUGGGUUAUAUUACCACAGUAGUUAAUUCUGCUUAACUGGGACUGUGACUACGUCUGUAGAGAGUUAGCUCAAAUCUUAGCUGAGGUCCAGAGGUGAAUCCAAAGCACCUGUGAAGGCAGCCAGAAAUCCUGUAGAAGGAUGGUGCUCCAGCUGUGAAUGAAUAGAUGUGUCAGGGGAACUGAACGGAGGGGAUCAAUGUCUUCAUUUAACACUUUUACAUAGUUGCCCAUGAUGCAGUUAAUACAUAGAGCUCCGUUCAGAUCUGUGACAGACCGGUCAGAGUGAAUCUGCUGCUUCGUUCCCAAAUUCAUCUGAAGGACUUGCUGAGUUUCUGAAGCGCUCAAAUGAGGAUCAUGGAAAUGUGUAAAUCUUCAAGUUCAGCUUUGGAGUGGAAGUUAGAAUGUAAAUGUGAAUAUUCUUAACAGCAUUAAGACAAACACUAAAGUACACGUCUGUUAGCAGUUGACAAAGCAGCAAUUUUAAUGGUGUUGAAUGGCUCCCUCAAGGUCCCCCUCCACCAGAACCCCCCCACCCCAGUUUAUUUAAAUACUAAAGAAUGAUGUCUGAGAUGAAAAAGCGCCUAACAGUGGAAGACGGUUUUAAAGUGACAGUGCAGGACAUCUCAUUUCAUUCAGGUCAGAACCUCAAGUCAAUGAGUCCACUCAUUGAUCAUCCAUUUUUAGCUCCCUAGCUGUAGCGCGCUAACGAGCGCUGCUGUAUCGAGCUAGCAAGCUCCACUGUAGCGAGCUAGGGAGCUCUGCUGUAGGGAGCUAGCAAGCUCCACUGUAGCAAGCUAGCAAGUUCCACUGUAGUGAGAUAGCAAUUUCCGCUGUAGCAUGCUAGGUAGCUCCACGGUUGCGAGCUAGCGAGCUCCGCUGUAUGAAGCUAACGAGCGCUGCUGUAUCGAGCUAGCAAGCUCCACUGUAGCAAGCUAGGGAGCUCUGCUGUCGAGAGUUAGCAAGUUCCACUGUAGCAAGCUAGCAAGUUCCACUGUAGCAUUGUAGCGAGCUAGGGAACUCCGUUGUAGUGAGCUUGCGAGUUCCACUGUAGUGAGAUAGCGAUUUCCGCUGUAAUAUGCUAGGUAGCUCCACUGUUUCGAGCUCCGCUGUAUCAAGCUAACGAGGUCUUCUGUAGGGAGCUAGCGAGUUCUGCUGUAGCAUUGUGGCGAGCUAGGGAACUCCGCUGUAGUGAGCUACAGAGUUCUGCUGUAGAGAGCUAGCAAGUUCCGCCGUAGCGAGCCCCACUGUAGCAUGCUAGGGAACUCUGCUGUUGCGAGCUAGAGAGCUCCACCAGAGCUGCUGGCUAGUGUAUCAAGCCAACACACUGAGUGUCCACUUAAGCUAAUGUGGACAAACCCACUUGGGGCCCACAUUUCUGCCCUCUUUUAAACCAUGUGGGCCCACUUGGCCUUGCUGGCUGGGCUCUGUGCAUUCCAGGUGCCUGAAAUGGUUAACUGGGUUUGACAUUAUUAAAUCUAAAUGAUGGAGUGUGAAGAUCUCCCAUUAUUUUUUUAGCACUGUGAGAAGUGAGCAUUUUACCGUCUUGUCAUCAUUUUGGGGGUGGAGUCAUUCACCCAAAAAUAAAUCCUUUUUUAUUGAGCAGAUGUGUCUGGACAUUUUGGUGAGUUUACAUUUACAAAACAUAAGUUUGUCACGUCAGCAUGUAACAGAUUGGCACCAUGACCAGGGAGGGGUGUACCCCCCACCCCCACUGCACAAGAGAUUCAGCAGGUUCUGAAAAUGAAUGGAUGGGAAGAAGUACAGUCUCCUUUGGAAAUUCUGAAAUAGUGUCAACAACAUGGAUGUUAACGGGCCUGAUGGAUGUCAGAACACCUCUGUCAUCGAGGUCCUCAAAGACACGAGUUCCGUCUGUAGCAGUGUGUCAGACCACUGUUCCUGACCCGGUUCUGUCUAAUGCCAGACGAGUGCGUCCUAAUUCCAUAUUCUCAGUCUCCCUGCCUGUGUGUCUGUUGUCAGUGCUGUAGAGUGCACUGCUGUCCCUUCUGUCCCGUCGUCUUCAUGUUGUCUCUUAAACUGCUGAUAGAACUAAAUAAAGGGAUUGGUCUCUGC